GUACUUGCUUCAGCAGUACAUAUACUAAAAUUGAUAAUACAGAAAUUAGCAUGGCCCCUGCACAAGGAUGACACGCAAAAUCGUGAAGCGUUCCACAUUUUU
Molecule: small nuclear RNA, 102 nt
Organism: Chelonus insularis
Lineage: Eukaryota; Metazoa; Arthropoda; Insecta; Hymenoptera; Braconidae
Source: RefSeq, a predicted model, not a curated record